CUCAGGUGCAUGCAAUGCACCUGAGUAACUGGAAGGGGUAGAGCCAGGUUUCAUCCCUUCCCAGACCUCAUUUAAGGGUUGGCAGUGGAGGCAACAGUACCUUGCUGGAGAUCUCUGCCUACCUGAGUUCUUCUGAAGAAGCAAGGGACUGCUGGAUUGAGUGAACGUGGACUUCUGCAGUAUGAUCCUUUGCAGUCACUCGGGGUUCCAGUGCUGAGUGCCUUCAACUGGAUUGAAAGCUGUGCCAUUUGCUGAAACUAAACAGCUCCUGCAGCCUGUCAAAAAGACCCCUGGCUGGUGUUUACCGGUCUGACCAUCUGUCUAUCUGUGUGUGAGCCCAUUCUCGAUUCUGGAGCUGAAGGGGAUGAAAGACUGCCUUGUGCUGGAUGCUGUGAGUGGCAGCUCCUGGUGAUGCUUUUGCUUAACCCCAGGGUGAUGUGACUGUGCAGUGAGGAUAGGACCAGCUCCUCUCAGCUCCAGUGAAGUGUCCUUGGAAUCACUGAGUGCUCUGCAGACUACGUACAACAGCGAUCAUUCAGCCACAGCUAAAACACAGCUACCUCUGGGGUGGACUGUGACAGAUGCUUAAUAAUGUCUGGAAACCUAGCGAAAGCAUGUACAGAAGGAGGAAAAGAUAAUGCUUU
This is a long non-coding RNA of Numida meleagris (helmeted guineafowl), 644 nucleotides long. RefSeq lists it as uncharacterized. The transcript has 4 exons. NCBI's taxonomy places the organism in Eukaryota, Metazoa, Chordata, Aves, Galliformes, Numididae. The record is from RefSeq and is a predicted model, not a curated record.